This 390-nucleotide ribosomal RNA is filed under the name uncultured bacterium. RNAcentral describes it as "bacterial SSU rRNA". It matches the Rfam family "Bacterial small subunit ribosomal RNA", at positions 28 to 419 of the family's 1533-position model. The record is from RNAcentral.
GACGAACGCUGGCGGCGUGCUUAACACAUGCAAGUCGAGCGGUAAGGCCCUUUCAGGGGUACACGAGCGGCGAACGGGUGAGUAACACGUGGGUGACCUGCCCUCAGCUCUGGGAUAAGCCCGGGAAACUGGGUCUAAUACCGGAUAUGACUCCAUGACGCAUGUUGUGGGGUGGAAAGCCUUGUGCGGCUGAGGAUGGGCCCGCGGCCUAUCAGCUUGUUGGUGGGGUGAUGGCCUACCAAGGCGACGACGGGUAGCCGGCCUGAGAGGGCGACCGGCCACACUGGGACUGAGAUACGGCCCAGACUCCUACGGGAGGCAGCAGUGGGGAAUCUUGCGCAAUGGGCGAAAGCCUGACGCAGCGACGCCGCGUGAGGGAUGACGGCCUGG